Danaus plexippus plexippus is the source of this 149-nucleotide small nuclear RNA. It matches the Rfam family "U12 minor spliceosomal RNA". From Rfam's summary of the family: Although the U12 sequence is very divergent from that of U2, the two are functionally analogous. NCBI's taxonomy places the organism in Eukaryota, Metazoa, Arthropoda, Insecta, Lepidoptera, Nymphalidae. The record is from Rfam.
GUGCCUCAAUCUAUUGAGUAAGGAAAUUAUUGGGCCUUGGUAACUCUCGGCUAUGUCCUGUAAGGGCGACCGUAUUUUUGAAGGGCAAAGGUCGUCCCUUUGAGUCGUGCGCCUACUUUGCACAUGAUUCGGGUGAAGCGAUCUACCCU